UAAUACCGGUUCUCGUUAGAUCACCGAAGUUAAGCAUCAUUGGGCGCGGUCAGUACUUGGGUGGGUGACCACCUGACACUGCGUGCCGU
Molecule: non-coding RNA, 89 nt
Organism: Caerostris darwini
Lineage: Eukaryota; Metazoa; Arthropoda; Arachnida; Araneae; Araneidae
Source: the annotation of a GenBank genome assembly